Molecule: ribosomal RNA, 417 nt
Filed under: uncultured bacterium
Lineage: Bacteria
Description: bacterial SSU rRNA
Rfam family: Bacterial small subunit ribosomal RNA
Source: RNAcentral
UCGGGAAUAUUGCGCAAUGGAGGAAACUCUGACGCAGUGACGCCGCGUGCAGGAAGAAGGUUUUCGGAUUGUAAACUGCUUUAGAUAGGGAAGAAAAAAUGACAGUACCCAUAGAAUAAGCUCCGGCUAACUACGUGCCAGCAGCCGCGGUAAUACGUAGGGAGCGAGCGUUAUCCGGAUUUAUUGGGUGUAAAGGGUGCGUAGAUGGAUAAACAAGUUGGUUGUGAAAUCCCUCGGCUUAACUGAGGAAUUGCAACCAAAACUGUAGAUCUUGAGUACUGGAGGGGAAAGCGGAAUUCCUAGUGUAGCGGUGAAAUGCGUAGAUAUUAGGAAGAACACCGGUGGCGAAGGCGGCUUUCUGGACAGAAACUGACAUUGAGGCACGAAAGUGUGGGGAGCAAACAGGAUUAGAUACCC